UACAGAGACUGCAAGCGUUAUUCGGAUUCACUGGGCGUAAAGGGUGCGCAGGCGGCCAUGUGUGUUAGGCGUGAAAGCCCGAGGCUUAACCUCGGAAUUGCACCUAAAACUACAUGGCUAGAGCAUUGGAGAGGGUAGUGGAAUUCAUGGUGUAGCAGUGAAAUGCGUAGAUAUCAUGAGGAACACCAGUGGCGAAGGCGACUACCUGGACAAUUGCUGACGCUCAGGCACGAAAGCGUGGGGAG
This 245-nucleotide ribosomal RNA is filed under the name uncultured bacterium. Its description in RNAcentral is "partial 16S ribosomal RNA". It matches the Rfam family "Bacterial small subunit ribosomal RNA", at positions 524 to 768 of the family's 1533-position model. The record is from RNAcentral.